GUGGUAGAUUAGCUGGUAAAUCGCCAGACUCGUAAUCCAGUUGUCACGUGUUCGAUACCUGUCCGGACCA
This is a non-coding RNA of Potamilus streckersoni, 70 nucleotides long. NCBI's taxonomy places the organism in Eukaryota, Metazoa, Mollusca, Bivalvia, Unionida, Unionidae. The record is from the annotation of a GenBank genome assembly.